UAUUUCCACACCCUGUAAGACACCUCGUAUAGGGUUUUUGUCUCCAACCAGCCACUGAACCUCGUACAAGGUCAAAUCAAUCACAUCAGACAGGGCGUCUAGGCCUAUACGAGGGAGCAAUACAAUAGAGCAAGGCACCUCGUCUAGGCCUAGACGAGGCGUCUUGAGGACUGAUUUGACUAUGUGUCUGGCAUGCGACAUAAAGUAAUAUGGGGCGUCUAUAUUUGAAAUAAAUAGUGACAUGCAGAGCAUUCUUCAACCAUCCAUCGUUCUGCCUUACACCGAGCUUCUUCUUUGCCUUAUUUUUUUAUCACUUGUGAGGUGCACAAAAACGUUCCGGUAA
This 343-nucleotide long non-coding RNA is filed under the name Helianthus annuus (common sunflower). RNAcentral describes it as "sRNA HanXRQr2_Chr12g0525451". Lineage: Eukaryota; Viridiplantae; Streptophyta; Magnoliopsida; Asterales; Asteraceae. The record is from RNAcentral.